AUUGAACGCUAGCGGGAUGCUUUACACAUGCAAGUCGAACGAGUGGCGGACGUGUGAGUAAUAUACCGGCACGUGCCCAGUAGCGGGGGAUAACUACUCGAAAGUGUGGCUAAUACCGCCUACUAUUGCAGCUGCCGCUAUCGGAUUAGCUAGUUGGUGGGGUAAAGGCUCACCAAGGCCACGAUCCGUAGCUGGUUUGAGAGGACGACCAGCCACACUGGGACUGAGACACGGCCCAGACUCCUACGGGAGGCAACAGUGGGGAAUUUUGGACAAUGGGGGAAACCCUGAUCCAGCCAUCCCGCGUGUAUGAGAAGGCCUUCGGGUUGUAAAGUACUUUUGGCAGAGAAGCGGUAUCUGCAGAAUAAGCACUGGCUAACUACGUGCCAGCAGCCGCGGUAAUUC
RNAcentral lists this ribosomal RNA (405 nucleotides) under uncultured bacterium. RNAcentral describes it as "partial 16S ribosomal RNA". It matches the Rfam family "Bacterial small subunit ribosomal RNA", at positions 30 to 526 of the family's 1533-position model. The record is from RNAcentral.